RNAcentral lists this ribosomal RNA (488 nucleotides) under uncultured bacterium. Its description in RNAcentral is "bacterial SSU rRNA". It matches the Rfam family "Bacterial small subunit ribosomal RNA", at positions 30 to 507 of the family's 1533-position model. The record is from RNAcentral.
AUUGAACGCUGGCGGCAUGCCUAACACAUGCAAGUCGAACGGUAACGACGGAAGCUUGCUUCCGGGCGACGAGUGGCGGACGGGUGAGUAACACUUAGGAAUCUGCCCAGUAGUGGGGGACAACCAGGAGAAAUCCUGGCUAAUACCGCAUACGCACUACGGUGGAAAGUGGGGGAUCUUCGGACCUCACGCUAUUGGAUGAGCCUAAGUCGGAUUAGCUUGUUGGUGAGGUAAAGGCUCACCAAGGCGACGAUCCGUAGCUGGUCUGAGAGGACGAUCAGCCACACUGGGACUGAGACACGGCCCAGACUCCUACGGGAGGCAGCAGUGGGGAAUAUUGGACAAUGGGCGCAAGCCCGAUCCAGCAAUGCCGCGUGUGUGAAGAAGGCCUGCGGGUUGUAAAGCACUUUCAGUAGAGAAGAAAAGCCUAGGGUUAAUACCCCUGAGUCUUGACGUAACCUACAGAAGAAGCACCGGCUAACUCCGUG